GCCAGGCGUGGUGGCGCACACCUGUAAUCCCAGCUACUCAGGAGGCUGAGGCAGGAGAAUCACUUGAAUCCAGGAGGCGGAGGUUGUAGUGAGCCGAGAUUGUGCCACUGCACUCCAGCCUGGGCAACAGAGUGAGACUCUGUCUCAA
Molecule: non-coding RNA, 148 nt
Filed under: Homo sapiens (human)
Lineage: Eukaryota; Metazoa; Chordata; Mammalia; Primates; Hominidae
Source: Rfam by way of RNAcentral